RNAcentral lists this non-coding RNA (80 nucleotides) under Marchantia polymorpha subsp. ruderalis. Its description in RNAcentral is "Eukaryotic large subunit ribosomal RNA". It matches the Rfam family "Eukaryotic large subunit ribosomal RNA", at positions 24 to 103 of the family's 3401-position model. Lineage: Eukaryota; Viridiplantae; Streptophyta; Marchantiopsida; Marchantiales; Marchantiaceae. The record is from Rfam by way of RNAcentral.
CCCUCUGAGUUUAAGCAUAUCACUAAGAGGAGGAAAAGAAACUAACAAGGAUUUCCCCAGUAGCGGCGAGCGAACCAUGA